Molecule: long non-coding RNA, 935 nt
Organism: Olea europaea var. sylvestris
Lineage: Eukaryota; Viridiplantae; Streptophyta; Magnoliopsida; Lamiales; Oleaceae
Exons: 3
Source: RefSeq, a predicted model, not a curated record
CCUAAUUUCUUCCCUCACCAUCGUCUCUGCCUCUUAGUCGUCUCUCAUCACUUCCUCUCUUACAAUACUCUUUUUCCCCUUAAUGGCAGUGGAUGCCGUCGUCUCUGGGAGCCGCCACAAGCAUUUCGUGGUAAUAAAUCUUCAACGCUUUCUCACGCUUUCCCCCCAUUCUCUGCUGCAUAGCUGCGCUUCACUGCCCUAACUGAUACUUGCUUCACUGGAACGGAAUUUGCUGUUAGACGCCGUUACACGGUGGCUCACUCGCCUAUUUCUCGCCAGUCACCUCCGGUCCGGUUACAAACCCCCCGCUGAACUGCAAUCGUCCGACCUACUCCACUUCGUGCACUGUUCCUCUUAUAUGUUCCAGUCAUCAUUAUGGAUAAGCCAUAACUCUUUCAUUAAUGGACGCAUAUUCCCUCAGUGUGCAACAUGAACAAACUACAUUACAAAUUCUUCAAGAUAAACUGGGAGCAGAGGAUCUUUGUAGUCAGGAUGCUGCUGCAUGGCUUGAAUAUUUUGAAUCAAAAGCUUUGGAACAGCAAGAAGCAGCACGUAAUGGAACUCCAAAACUGGAUGCAUCCAUUGCCAGCGAAGGUCACCUGAGGUAUUGAUUUAGCAAACGAUAUGGAGUUCAUUAAACGUUAUGAAUCUCUGCCAUAAUGUGUAUUAAAAGAAGAAGAUUUAAAAGAAAAAGAUUGCAUUACGGCGAAGUAUCAAGUAUCUUCAAGGUGGGAGGCUCUUUUCUAUAUGAAAGAUGCAGGCCAAGAAGAAAGCAACGCGGAGGAUUUUUGAGAGCUAGCCAACCCAACAGUUUGAAAACAGCAAGUUGUAAAUUAUCUUCUUUUAUACAAUAAUUUUCUUUUGUUUAAGAGGAGUGUAAGAUGUUUAUUUGAUGGGCAAUAUGCAAAUAAAAAAUUUUCUUCGAUUUAUUAUAA